UAUACUAUGCAUUUUUGGUAUUCGAAAGAUAAAUAUUUGGAUCUGUAAACCAAUAAAGAAUCACAUAAUUGGAGAAAAGAAACCAAGAAAAAACAAACAAUGGUAGGAGAAUAGAUUAUUUCAGAGAUCAUCGAAAAAAUGUUUCGUUGUGACCAUUUUCCACUACUUCGGUAAAUAUCAAAACAGUACCUAGUAAGGAAAAAACUUUCGGAAGGCCGAUAAUGAUGCAAGACGUAGUAUAAAGGAUCUUUAGGUGGAACACAUUGGACGAUUUCAACGAUGGUUAUGAGCUGGAAGAUUGGUAUUGAGAACGGUUAAGAUUUAUUAA
This is a non-coding RNA of Cinara cedri, 328 nucleotides long. NCBI's taxonomy places the organism in Eukaryota, Metazoa, Arthropoda, Insecta, Hemiptera, Aphididae. The record is from the annotation of a GenBank genome assembly.